GUAUGAAUCAGCGCGUAGCAUGUUUGGUUUCGGAGAUUUCAAUUAAGGUGAAUUGCUUAUACAUGCAGCCGAAGCCAAGCAUGCGAUACACACUUACAGUAACAUUUGCCCUGCUUCUUGCCAUUCGCGCGUUUGAGACGAAAGCCUACUAUUUUGAUCUCCAGGAAGAAUCGCGUUUUCAUCCGCAAGACCACAUGAAUGCCAACAUGGGUACUGCCGCUAUCAGACGUGGCAGGAAUAUAUAGGUACAUCUUGUGGUACAUCGUAUCUGCAGUGCCUCAGGUCCUGCCGAAAACUGUGCAACUGAGG
Long non-coding RNA from Rhipicephalus sanguineus (brown dog tick), 309 nucleotides. RefSeq lists it as uncharacterized. The record is from RefSeq and is a predicted model, not a curated record. NCBI's taxonomy places the organism in Eukaryota, Metazoa, Arthropoda, Arachnida, Ixodida, Ixodidae. The transcript has 3 exons.